RNAcentral lists this unclassified non-coding RNA (285 nucleotides) under plant metagenome. RNAcentral's name for it is "partial contains small subunit ribosomal RNA, internal transcribed spacer 1, and 5.8S ribosomal RNA". The stretch from base 1 to 54 matches the Rfam family "Eukaryotic small subunit ribosomal RNA", at positions 1778 to 1831 of the family's 1831-position model. The record is from RNAcentral.
GGAAGUAAAAGCCGUAACAAGGGUUCCGUAGGUGAACCUGCGGAAGGAUCAUUAUUGUAUAACCGAGGUGCGAGGGCUGUCGCUGACCCGAAAGGUCGUGCACGCCCGAGUGCCCUCACACACAUCCAUCUCACCCCUAUGUGCACCACCGCGUGGGUCCCCCUUUGGCUUGUUCGGAGGGGGGCUUACGUUUUCACACAAACUUUGUAUGCAGUGUAGAAUGUAUUUUUUGUUUUUGCGAUCACGCAAUCAAUACAACUUUCAACAACGGAUCUCUUGGCUCUC